Molecule: ribosomal RNA, 497 nt
Filed under: uncultured bacterium
Lineage: Bacteria
Description: partial 16S ribosomal RNA
Rfam family: Bacterial small subunit ribosomal RNA
Source: RNAcentral
GAUGAACGCUGGCGGCGUGCCUAAUACAUGCAAGUCGAGCGAACGGACGAGAAGCUUGCUCCUCUGAUGUUAGCGGCGGACGGGCGAGUAACACGUGGAUAACCUACUUAUAAGACUGGGAUAACUUCGGGAAACCGGAGCUAAUACCGGAUAAUAUUUUGAACCGCAGGGUUCAAAAGUGAAAGACGGUUUUGCUGUCACUUAUAGAUGGAUCCGCGCUGCAUUAGCUAGUUGGUAAGGUAACGGCUUACCAAGGCAACGAUGCAUAGCCGACCUGAGAGGAUGAUCGGCCACACUGGAACUGAGACACGGUCCAGACUCCUACGGGAGGCAGCAGUAGGGAAUCUUGCACAAUGGGCGAAAGCCUGACGGAGCAACGCCGCGUGAGUGAUGAAGGUCUUCGGAUCGUAAAGCUCUGUUAUUAGGGAAGAACAUAUGUGUAAGUAACUGUGCACGUCUUGACGGUACCUAAUCAGAAAGCCACGGCUAACUACGUG